GACGAACGCUGGCGGCGUGCUUAACACAUGCAAGUCGAACGGAAAGGCCCUGCUUGUGUGGGGUGCUCGAGUGGCGAACGGGUGAGUAACACGUGAGUAACCUGCCCUUGACUUUGGGAUAACUUCAGGAAACUGGGGCUAAUACCGGAUAGGAGCUCCUGCUGCAUGGUGGGGGUUGGAAAGUUUCGGCGGUUGGGGAUGGACUCGCGGCUUAUCAGCUUGUUGGUGGGGUAGUGGCUUACCAAGGCUUUGACGGGUAGCCGGCCUGAGAGGGUGACCGGCCACAUUGGGACUGCGAUACGGCCCAGACUCCUACGGGAGGCAGCAGUGGGGAAUAUUGCACAAUGGGCGGAAGCCUGAUGCAGCAACGCCGCGUGCGGGAUGACGGCCUUCGGGUUGUAAACCGCUUUCGCCUGUGACGAAGCGUGAGUGACGGUAAUGGGUAAAGAAGCACCGGCUAACUACGUG
Molecule: ribosomal RNA, 468 nt
Filed under: uncultured bacterium
Lineage: Bacteria
Description: partial 16S ribosomal RNA
Rfam family: Bacterial small subunit ribosomal RNA
Source: RNAcentral